AAUUUUGGGCAAUGGGCGAAAGCCUGACCCAGCAACGCCGCGUGAAGGAUGAAAUCCCUCGGGAUGUAAACUUCGCAAGAACAGGAAGAAUAAGGAAGAGUUAACACCUCUUUCGAUGACGGUACUGUUUAUAAGCUCCGGCUAACUCCGUGCCAGCAGCCGCGGUAAUACGUAGGGCGCAAGCGUUAUCCGGAAUUAUUGGGCGUAAAGAGCUCGUAGGCGGUUUGUCGCGUCUGCCGUGAAAGUCCGGGGCUCAACUCCGGAUCUGCGGUGGGUACGGGCAGACUAGAGUGAUGUAGGGGAGACUGGAAUUCCUGGUGUAGCGGUGAAAUGCGCAGAUAUCAGGAGGAACACCGAUGGCGAAGGCAGCCUCCUGGGCCAACACUGACGCUCAUGCACGAAAGCGUGGGGAGCAAAC
This 418-nucleotide ribosomal RNA is filed under the name uncultured bacterium. RNAcentral's name for it is "bacterial SSU rRNA". It matches the Rfam family "Bacterial small subunit ribosomal RNA", at positions 360 to 773 of the family's 1533-position model. The record is from RNAcentral.